RNAcentral lists this ribosomal RNA (478 nucleotides) under uncultured bacterium. Its description in RNAcentral is "partial 16S ribosomal RNA". It matches the Rfam family "Bacterial small subunit ribosomal RNA", at positions 28 to 507 of the family's 1533-position model. The record is from RNAcentral.
GAUGAACGCUGGCGGCGUGCUUAACACAUGCAAGUCGAACGAGAAGUGAAGACGGAAACCUUCGGGCGGAAGGCUUUAUUUCGAGUGGCGGACGGGUGAGUAACGCGUGGGUAACCUGCCUCAUACAGGGGGAUAACAGUUGGAAACGACUGUUAAUACCGCAUAAGACCACAGCACCACAUGGUGCGGGGGUAAAAACUCCGGUGGUAUGAGAUGGACCCGCGUUCGAUUAGCCAGUUGGCGGGGUAACGGCCCACCAAAGCGACGAUCGAUAGCCGAUCUGAGAGGAUGACCGGCCACAGUGGGACUGAGACACGGCCCAAACUCCUACGGGAGGCAGCAGUGGGGAAUAUUGCACAAUGGGGGAAACCCUGAUGCAGCGACGCCGCGUGAGUGAAGAAGUAUUUCGGUAUGUAAAGCUCUAUCAGCAGGGAAGAAAAUGACGGUACCUGAGUAAGAAGCCCCGGCUAACUACGUG